RNAcentral lists this long non-coding RNA (3555 nucleotides) under Homo sapiens (human). RNAcentral's name for it is "HSALNT0151193". The record is from RNAcentral. Lineage: Eukaryota; Metazoa; Chordata; Mammalia; Primates; Hominidae.
GAGGAUUCUGAGUUUUGGAGCGUCUAUUGCCAAGCCUAUGGCAGGAAUGUUGCCCAGAUGCUGGUGUGCCUCUCAGAGGGUUGAGAAGAGGCCAGACCCUGGGAAAUCCAACUGUGAAAUACUGAGAACAAGAAUGUGGGCAGACCAUUCUGAUGGUGUCACUUUGAAAUCAGCCAAGAUGCAGUGGGUCUUAGUAAAGCAAUGGACCUCAAAACAGAUUGCAAAACAAGAACUGGUAAGUAUUAGCACAGAGACAUCACAUUAAAAGGAAGAUAAGCCAAAUGAAAAGGAGAGUUCCAAAUACCAGGUCACGAUUGAAGGGGAAAUAUAUCUGUAGAGAGAUAUGGAAAUGUGUGUGUAUACGGCCUGGAUAUAUACAAACAUCUCUCCAGAUACAGAAGCAAAUGCAGAAUGUCCACAUCUCCAGGCAGAUUUGUAAGUCAUAGGUAAUGAUCAAAGAACGCAGGGAGCAAUAGUUCACCAUAAUUUGGUCAUUUGUCAAGGGAUUACAUAUUUAAAAUCCACAUUUAAUUCAAAGACCUUGUAUUUAAAACAUUUCCAGCUGCUUUAUACAUUUUUUAAGCAAUAGUAAGAUAUACAAGCUGCAAGAUAUAGGCCUUUACAUUUCAUUUUCUGUAAUAUUUUUCCUGUUCAAACACAUGGCUACUAGCAGCUUUUAUGAUGCUUGCUCCAGUACAUUGAACGUUCAGCUAACCUCCACUCAGGAUCAUUUUCAUUAAUGCAUAGACUAAAGAAAUAAAUAAACAUGGACCUGGCCUCAAACGCAUAGACUAAAAAAUGACAUCCCCAUCUUUUCUCAUUUCGUCUCCUGAGAUGUAUGUUAAGAUGGCAAAAUAGUUGCUUGGUGGUGGUUGUUGUGAAAUUCACAGUGUUUUGCCUACAACACAUAUACAGAUAUAUAUAUAUAUAUUUUUUUUUUUGCUUUGCUUUGUGUUUGUGCUGAAUGGAGCAAAAGUAUAUAAAUAAAUAAAUAAAUACAUAAUUAAAUAAAUAAAGGUCAAAGGAAAAGGAGGGGAAAUGCAAAAACUAAGGAUAUUCAAGAACCUUUGACUUGAGCAGCAGUGAUUCAUUCCAGCCCUGACAACAAGAAAAUACCCCUUCCUGCACUGUCGUUUCUAACUAUAAAUCCCUCCCACCCCUCAUUCUUUAGAAUGACAUUUGAAAUUCAUGUACAAGCUAUCACAACCUCAGAGGCUCCACAUUCCAAUUAUGCAUCAUAAAAAAUCAGCUGUAACUACUAACUUAGACAUUUGGAGAGUUGGGUCACUAGCCAUUCCUCUCAUGAGAUUUCCUAUAACAGUGAUAUAUGGCCAAACCAAAGGUCAACAUUGAAAAUAAAAGUCCUGAGACAGGGGAUGAAAAAGAAAAUGGGGAAGCAAGAGAAUUGAGGGUAUGUGUGUAUAUGCAGUCAUUUAUUUAGUUAGAUACAACAAUGUUAUUGGUAUUACAGGCAGUCCAAUUUGUGAAAAGAAAGAUUCAAAGAAAGUCCAUACUUGACCAGGUAAUCCUGCUGUUAGGACGCUUUGAAAAGGACAGCAUUCUAUACUGUUAGUUGGUGCAUUCACUCUAGGAUGUGGGAAUUCCUAAGAGUUGCUCAUCUCGCUGUGGGGUCUUGGACUGCUCAUCAUUGGCCUUCAAGCCACUGGGCUGCCAACAUUCCAAUUUAUAUUUGGAAUGCUUGAACUCUGAACUCAAGUGUAAAGGGGUCACAGUGAGACAGAGACAAGGUGAGCAUAAUACAAAUGUGCUGAAAGACAAAAAGAAAGCAAUGUUCCUUUCCUGGACCAUUACAAAAAGUAUCUUUCUUUGCAAGGAGCCAGAGAAAGCACUCAAUGUAGUGGGAUGGCUUUUAUUCAGUUGUUUUGGGAAGCACAUUAUCUUAAAUAUGUCUUCCACCCAUGCAGUACUGCACAGAGUUGAAAAGUGUGAUGUAGUCCUACCCACGUGGAGUAUGGAAGCACUAACAGCAACAUGACGUUAAACAGUUUUGGUUAUUUAGCAUAUUUUAAGCAAAUUAUUCAUACCGCAUCCUACUUAUAAUUACCUCUAUUAUUGUGUGCCUAUAAAUUUAUACAUAAACACACAAACACACUACGUAUGUGCAUUUGUAUAUGUAUAAAUCAAGUAUUUAUAACACAUACAUAAAUACAUGAAAACAUCACAGGUAGCGCUGAUGUGAACACAUGUAUAAUAUGAAUUCUGAUAUAAUCUUUUAUAGCAUAGUUCAAAGUGUUUUCUAAAUAAGCCUGAUUAUGACAUUGGUUCAGUGUACAAGAAUUUAGCUGAAUUUAGCUGAAGCUAAGAGCAUGAUUAUAUAUCACAAUAUCUCAGUUGCUUGUCAUCUCCUGUAUUUCCUUUUGUUCUUCUAACUUCAUAUACUGCUUCAUGAAUGUGUUAGCAUGCUUUCUUUCCUGAACUGCUUGUUUGCAUAUUAGAGUCUCUAGUGGACAGAACCACGAAGUUCAGAGUGAGAGUACUUGGAUUCAGUCCCAAUGGUGCUGGAAGCUAGGCUGGAGACCUCUAGCGUGCCUCUGAAUGUCUCUGAGUCUCAACGUCCUCAUCUACACAAAAUAGGAAUAAUUUGCUAACACACAUGGAAAGUGUUUGGAAAACUAUUCAAUGACUUCUAAAUGGAAAUGAUUGUCAGACCAGGUUUGGGCUAGAGAAUUAGGUUUGUCACUGUUAUACUGUUGUAGUUUUCACAAAUUUGAUGGAAGGCCGUAUUUGGUGAUCAUUACAUUUUAGAACGAGGAUGCCACUCUUCUAAAAAUCAGACCAUGAGAAAGGGGGUGGUGGAGGAACAACAAUGAAUAAUUUCAGAUAUUCUGUGGCUCGUUCAGCUACUUUAAAAGCAAUCUGAUAUUCUUUCAAUUUGAGAUGUCUCUGAAAUCAGCACAUACUCUUAAGACAACAGAGAUAGUAAUAGUAAUAAUCAGCAAUAAAAAUAACUAUAAAACUUUGCACUUGCAUAGAACCUUUUAUUUCAAGACCUUUAGGGACUUGUCAGAAGGUAUAAGUGGAAUUUUAUUUUAUUUUUUGCUUUUUUCUUUCAGAGAAAAAAAAGACAAAACUGGAAUGGGAUGCUCCCAAAGUCUCAUUUGCCUUAAACAAAUCUUUGCUCUAAAAUUGCACAUUCCUCCUUGAAUUUGAUCCCUUAAAUUAUUACCUACUUUAUUCUCUUAAAAUAAAAUAAAUAACUUGUAGCUUUUCCCCCGAGAUUAGCUGGCCAGACAUGCAGCGUGACAAACCUGUGUUGGUUUUUGCUGAUGGAAUCUAGAAAAGUUUUUGUACAAAUCUGCCCCUUCCUUACUGCGUCACAGAGUUCUACAGUGUUUUAAGAGUACCAUGGGUCCUUAAUAUGAUACAUACAUGCACAUGUAUGUAUAUAUAUGUGCACAUAUAUAUCAUGGAGAUAUGGCUUUCAUUAUGUUAUUAUGUGUAUUCUAGAGGGUUUUUUUAAAAUCAUCAACAAAGAGAACAAACGACCCAACUCUCAUCUCUCAUAGGCCAGCAUAUAACUUGAAUGGACGUAAG